RNAcentral lists this ribosomal RNA (1381 nucleotides) under uncultured bacterium. RNAcentral describes it as "bacterial SSU rRNA". It matches the Rfam family "Bacterial small subunit ribosomal RNA". The record is from RNAcentral.
GAAUUCGCCCUUAGAGUUUGAUCCUGGCUCAGGACGAACGCUGGCGGCGCGCCUAACACAUGCAAGUCGAACGAGCGAGAGAGAGCUUGCUUUCUCGAGCGAGUGGCGAACGGGUGAGUAACGCGUGGGGAACCUGCCUCAAAGAGGGGGACAACAGUUGGAAACGACUGCUAAUACCGCAUAAGCCCACGACCCGGCAUCGGGUUGAGGGAAAAGGAGCAAUCCGCUUUGAGAUGGCCUCGCGUCCGAUUAGCUAGUUGGUGAGGUAACGGCCCACCAAGGCAACGAUCGGUAGCCGGACUGAGAGGUUGAACGGCCACAUUGGGACUGAGACACGGCCCAGACUCCUACGGGAGGCAGCAGUGGGGAAUAUUGCACAAUGGGGGAAACCCUGAUGCAGCGACGCCGCGUGGAGGAAGAAGGUCUUCGGAUUGUAAACUCCUGUUGUUGAGGAAGAUAAUGACGGUACUCAACAAGGAAGUGACGGCUAACUACGUGCCAGCAGCCGCGGUAAAACGUAGGUCACAAGCGUUGUCCGGAAUUACUGGGUGUAAAGGGAGCGCAGGCGGGAAGACAAGUUGGAAGUGAAAUCCAUGGGCUCAACCCAUGAACUGCUUUCAAAACUGUUUUUCUUGAGUAGUGCAGAGGUAGGCGGAAUUCCCGGUGUAGCGGUGGAAUGCGUAGAUAUCGGGAGGAACACCAGUGGCGAAGGCGGCCUACUGGGCACCAACUGACGCUGAGGCUCGAAAGUGUGGGUAGCAAACAGGAUUAGAUACCCUGGUAGUCCACACCGUAAACGAUGAUUACUAGGUGUUGGAGGAUUGACCCCUUCAGUGCCGCAGUUAACACAAUAAGUAAUCCACCUGGGGAGUACGACCGCAAGGUUGAAACUCAAAGGAAUUGACGGGGGCCCGCACAAGCAGUGGAGUAUGUGGUUUAAUUCGACGCAACGCGAAGAACCUUACCAAGUCUUGACAUCCUGCGACGAUGCUGGAAACAGUAUUUUCCUUCGGGACGCAGAGACAGGUGGUGCAUGGUUGUCGUCAGCUCGUGUCGUGAGAUGUUGGGUUAAGUCCCGCAACGAGCGCAACCCUUAUGGUCAGUUACUACGCAAGAGGACUCUGGCCAGACUGCCGUUGACAAAACGGAGGAAGGUGGGGAUGACGUCAAAUCAUCAUGCCCUUUAUGACCUGGGCUACACACGUGCUACAAUGGACAGAGCAGAGGGAAGCGAAGCCGCGAGGUGGAGCGAAACCCAUAAAACUGUUCUCAGUUCGGACUGCAGUCUGCAACUCGACUGCACGAAGAUGGAAUCGCUAGUAAUCGCGAAUCAGCAUGUCGCGGUGAAUACGUUCUCGGGCCUUGCACACACCGCCCGUCA